This 163-nucleotide small nuclear RNA is filed under the name Microtus ochrogaster (prairie vole). RNAcentral's name for it is "U1 spliceosomal RNA (ENSMOCG00000004711.1)". It matches the Rfam family "U1 spliceosomal RNA". Rfam says of the family: U1 is a small nuclear RNA (snRNA) component of the spliceosome (involved in pre-mRNA splicing). Its 5' end forms complementary base pairs with the 5' splice junction, thus defining the 5' donor site of an intron. There are significant differences in sequence and secondary structure between metazoan and yeast U1 snRNAs, the latter being much longer (568 nucleotides as compared to 164 nucleotides in human). The record is from RNAcentral. Lineage: Eukaryota; Metazoa; Chordata; Mammalia; Rodentia; Cricetidae.
AGAAUUACCUGGCAGGGAAGGUACCAUGAUCGUGAAGAUGAUUGCAUUUUGGAUGAAAUUCAUUGCAUUUCCAAUGUGUUGACCCCUGCAAAUUCACGAAAUUGAGGAAACUUGUCUGUGUAAUUUGUGAAUGAAGAAAUUGCAUAUACAUACCCCCAUUCAC